RNAcentral lists this ribosomal RNA (504 nucleotides) under Cepora iudith. RNAcentral's name for it is "partial 16S ribosomal RNA". Lineage: Eukaryota; Metazoa; Arthropoda; Insecta; Lepidoptera; Pieridae. The record is from RNAcentral.
GAUGAAAUCCCGGGAAGCCGCGCGCCCACUGAAAUAAAAUUUAAAGGGCUGCAGUAUAUUGACUGUACAAAGGUAGCAUAGUCAUUAGUCUUUUAAUUGAAGACUUGUAUGAAUGAUUUGAUGAAAUAUGAGCUGUCUCUUUAUUAAUAAUAGAAUUUAAUUUUUUAGUUAAAAAGCUAAAAUUUUUAUAAAAGACGAGAAGACCCUAUAGAGUUUAAUUUUUUAAUUUUUGUAGGUAUUUUAUAAAAUUUAUAAUUUAUAAAAAUUAAAAAAUUUUGUUGGGGUGAUAGAAAAAUUUAAUAAACUUUUUUUAAAAAAUUAACAUUAAUUUAUGAAUUUUUGAUCCAUAAAUUAUGAUUAUAAGAUUAAAUUACCUUAGGGAUAACAGCGUAAUUUUUUUUUUUAGUUCAAAUAAAAAAAAAAGUUUGCGACCUCGAUGUUGAAUUAAAAUAAAAUAUAAAUGCAAAAGUUUAAAAUUUUGAUCUGUUCGAUCAUUAAAAUCUU